AUUGAACGCUGGCGGCAGGCUUAACACAUGCAAGUCGAGCGAGCGGCGGACGGGUGAGUAAUGUCUGAGAAACUGCCUGAUGGAGGGGAAUAACUACUGGCAACGGUAGCUACUACCGCAUACCAUCAGAUGUGCCCAGAUGGGAUUAGCUGGGAGGUGGGGUAAUGGCUCACCGAGGCGACGAUCCCUAGCUGGUCUGAGAGGAUGACCGGCCACACUGGAACGGAGACACGGUCCAUACUCCUACGGGAGGCAGCAGUGGGGAAUAUUGCACAAUGGGCGCAAGCCUGAUGCAGCCAUGCCGCGUGUGUGAAGAAGGCCUUCGGGUUGUAAAGCACUUUCAGCGAGGAGGCGUUACUCGCAGAAGAAGCACCGGCUAACUCCGUGCCAGCAGCCGCGGUAAUAC
Molecule: ribosomal RNA, 406 nt
Filed under: uncultured bacterium
Lineage: Bacteria
Description: partial 16S ribosomal RNA
Rfam family: Bacterial small subunit ribosomal RNA
Source: RNAcentral